AACAAACCAGGCAAGAUUCUGGGACUGAGAGUAGAAAAUAAGCUCAAGAACUAAGGUAAAAGUCUUCUACUGACUGCCUCCUUGAAAAAGCCAAGUUACAGCUAUUUUCAAGUUCAGUGGUCAAAAACUUUUGAAGUAAACCCAGGGAAAAUACUCUGAUUGAUCUUGGCAUUUUCCGGCAGAUCCACUUUCUGGGUCCCACCUGGUUCUAUAUCAUUAUUAUCUGGCUGACUUUUCAUCCUCACCAGACUGUGAGCAAGUCAAAGAAGAAGACCAAGCCCUGAGCUUGAACUGUGUGGUUGAGAAGAAAGAAGCGGCAUUCCCCCUCUGUUGUCAAGACGUCUAAAGUGAGAAGAUUUUCAGAGGCUCGUUCCAGCAUGUAAAAGAGAGAGACGACUGUCCAAUGAGCCUCGUCUUCUUGUGAACAUGGAUAUGGAUCCUUGCCUCAAAUAGCACCAAAGUUUAUGUGACCAUUCCAUAUGAAGAAAGACCCUCUGGAUGACUGACCGCCUAAGAGCAGAAGGACUUGGGGAAGGAGCUUAUGUUUCAGAAUGAAGAGCCCUAAAGUAAGUAGCAGCAGUUAAGAGUUACAUGUAGAUGUGAAGAAUUCUAAAAGUGAAAGGAAAACUGCAAAUUAAGGAACAUGAAAGGAAAACAGAAAAGCAAACUUAACUUAGUUACAUGCCAAAGGAGUUCUUUUUUUUUUUUUUUUUUAGUAACCCUUCCUCACCCACCAUGAUAAAAAUAGUUGCUCCCAAUUUGAGACACAUCCAUGUGACUGGCUCAGGGAUGCUCCGGACUACUGUGUGAGCAGGACUGUAGGGGUCUGAGCACUUUACUUUCUGUGCUAAA
Zalophus californianus (California sea lion) is the source of this 852-nucleotide long non-coding RNA. RefSeq lists it as uncharacterized. Lineage: Eukaryota; Metazoa; Chordata; Mammalia; Carnivora; Otariidae. The transcript has 4 exons. The record is from RefSeq and is a predicted model, not a curated record.